AACGAACGCUGGCGGCAUGCCUAACACAUGCAAGUCGAACGAGAUCUUCGGGUCUAGUGGCGCACGGGUGCGUAACGCGUGGGAAUCUGCCCUUUGGUUCGGAAUAAUAGUUGGAAACGACUGCUAAUACCGGAUGAUGACGAAAGUCCAAAGAUUUAUCGGCAGAGGAUGAGCCCGCGUAGGAUUAGCUAGUUGGUGUGGUAAAGGCGCACCAAGGCGACGAUCCUUAGCUGGUCUGAGAGGAUGAUCAGCCACACUGGGACUGAGACACGGCCCAGACUCCUACGGGAGGCAGCAGUGGGGAAUAUUGGACAAUGGGCGAAAGCCUGAUCCAGCAAUGCCGCGUGAGUGAUGAAGGCCUUAGGGUUGUAAAGCUCUUUUACCCGGGAUGAUAAUGACAGUACCGGGAGAAUAAGUUCCGGCUAACUCCGUGCCAGCCGCCGCCGUAA
Molecule: ribosomal RNA, 449 nt
Filed under: uncultured bacterium
Lineage: Bacteria
Description: partial 16S ribosomal RNA
Rfam family: Bacterial small subunit ribosomal RNA
Source: RNAcentral